GAAAUGCGAUAAGUAGUGUGAAUUGCAGAAUUCAGUGAAUCAUCGAAUCUUUGAACGCACAUUGCGUCCCUUGGUAUUCCAUGGGGCAUGCCUGUUCGAGCGUCAUUUGUACCCUCAAGCUCUGCUUGGUGUUGGGUGUUUGUCCCCGUCUCCGCGCGUGGACUCGCCCCAAAGUGAUUGGCAGCCGGCGUACUGGUCCCGGAGCGCAGCACAUGUCGCGCAAACGAGUGCCUUGGUACGGCGGCGUCCAUAAGCCCCUCUCUCACGCUCUUGACCUCGGAUCAGGCGGGGUUACCCGCUGAACUUAAGC
This 310-nucleotide unclassified non-coding RNA is filed under the name plant metagenome. RNAcentral's name for it is "partial contains 5.8S ribosomal RNA, internal transcribed spacer 2, and large subunit ribosomal RNA". The stretch from base 1 to 105 matches the Rfam family "5.8S ribosomal RNA", at positions 50 to 154 of the family's 154-position model. The record is from RNAcentral.